Long non-coding RNA from Haplochromis burtoni (Burton's mouthbrooder), 282 nucleotides. RefSeq lists it as uncharacterized. NCBI's taxonomy places the organism in Eukaryota, Metazoa, Chordata, Actinopteri, Cichliformes, Cichlidae. The record is from RefSeq and is a predicted model, not a curated record. The transcript has 3 exons.
UUUCUGUUUCCUUUUUGUCUCGAGCUCUUGCCAUUUUCAGAGCGAUGGCAGCAGCAGACUUAUCAAGAACCAGAGAACCAGCCAGAACUACCAAAGGCUUGUUUCUCAUCUUCUCUCUGCUGUGUCUUGCUUAUGUCACAAGUUCGCUGAAGACCGAGGAUCAACUGGAAAAAAUGAAAACUGCAUUAGAAGAGGCUGAAAGACAGAAGGCAGAAGAGAAGUACAGAAAUGCAACCAUCACAAAACUAUUUGAUCUUGCAAGUUCACUAACUAACAAGGAGC